UACGUAGGGGGCGAGCGUUGUCCGGAAUCAUUGGGCGUAAAGCGCGCGUAGGCGGCCCUGUAAGUCCGCUGUAAAAGUCAAAGGCUCAACCUUUGAAAGCCGGUGGAUACUGCAGGGCUAGAGUCCGGAAGAGGCGAGUGGAAUUCCUGGUGUAGCGGUGGAAUGCGCAGAUAUCAGGAGGAACACCGGUGGCGAAGGCGGGUCUCUGGGCCGAUACUGACGCUGAGGAGCGAAAGCGUGGGGAGCGAACAGG
This 253-nucleotide ribosomal RNA is filed under the name uncultured bacterium. RNAcentral's name for it is "partial 16S ribosomal RNA". It matches the Rfam family "Bacterial small subunit ribosomal RNA", at positions 524 to 776 of the family's 1533-position model. The record is from RNAcentral.